Long non-coding RNA from Armigeres subalbatus, 337 nucleotides. RefSeq lists it as uncharacterized. NCBI's taxonomy places the organism in Eukaryota, Metazoa, Arthropoda, Insecta, Diptera, Culicidae. The transcript is spliced from 2 exons. The record is from RefSeq and is a predicted model, not a curated record.
CCAUGACGGUGGCGGCGGUCCGACCGAAGAAAUAUGAAUUUUAUGUUGGUUGUUGAGGUCAAUGUACAGUCUAUCGCAAUAUCUGCUGCCGGUAAAAACAUCCUCUCUGGAGCAGAAUCGCUCGCACCGAAUCAGGACCAGCCAAAACAUCUAAAGCAUCAACGACCACCACCGUCAAGGAAACCGACAACUCGCAGAAAAUGUGAUUCAAGAUUCUGGCCCUGGUCGAGUCGAGUGCGACCUUUCCAUUGUGGCUCAUGAUGUGGUUCCAAGUUACUUUUUAAGUUUUUUUCAACAAAAUAAAGGUUCUAAUAAAUAAGUAAUAAAAAUAUAAUCA